This 1381-nucleotide ribosomal RNA is filed under the name uncultured bacterium. RNAcentral's name for it is "bacterial SSU rRNA". It matches the Rfam family "Bacterial small subunit ribosomal RNA". The record is from RNAcentral.
AGUUUGAUCCUGGCUCAGGAUGAACGCUGGCGGCGUGCUUAACACAUGCAAGUCGAACGGGAAUUAUUUUAUUGAAACUUCGGUCGAUUUAAUUUAAUUCUAGUGGCGGACGGGUGAGUAACGCGUGGGUAACCUGCCUUAUACAGGGGGAUAACAGUCAGAAAUGGUUGCUAAUACCGCAUAAGCGCACAGAGCUGCAUGGCUCAGUGUGAAAAACUCCGGUGGUAUAAGAUGGACCCGCGUUGGAUUAGCUUGUUGGUGGGGUAACGGCUCACCAAGGCGACGAUCCAUAGCCGGCCUGAGAGGGUGAACGGCCACAUUGGGACUGAGACACGGCCCAGACUCCUACGGGAGGCAGCAGUGGGGAAUAUUGCACAAUGGGGGAAACCCUGAUGCAGCGACGCCGCGUGAAGGAAGAAGUAUCUCGGUAUGUAAACUUCUAUCAGCAGGGAAGAUAGUGACGGUACUUGACUAAGAAGCCCCGGCUAACUACGUGCCAGCAGCCGCGGUAAUACGUAGGGGGCAAGCGUUAUCCGGAUUUACUGGGUGUAAAGGGAGCGUAGACGGUGUGGCAAGUCUGAUGUGAAAGGCAUGGGCUCAACCUGUGGACUGCAUUGGAAACUGUCAUACUAGAGUGCGGAAGAGGAUCGUGGAAUUCCAUGUGUAGCGGUGAAAUGCGUAGAUAUAUGGAGGAACACCAGUGGCGAAGGCGACGGUCUGGGCCGCAACUGACGCUCAUUCCCGAAAGCGUGGGGAGCAAAUAGGAUUAGAUACCCUAGUAGUCCACGCCGUAAACGAUGGUCACUAAGUGUCGGGGGUCAGACCCCGGUGUGGCAGUCAACGCAAUAAGUGACCCGCCUGAGUAGUACGUUCGCAAGAAUGAAACUCAAAGGAAUUGACGGGGGCCCGCACAAGCGGUGGAGCAUGUGGUUUAAUUCGACGCAACGCGAAGAACCUUACCAGGACUUGACAUCCAACUAACGAAGCAGAGAUGCAUUAGGUGCCCUUCGGGGAAAGUUGAGACAGGUGGUGCAUGGUUGUCGUCAGCUCGUGUCGUGAGAUGUUGGGUUAAGUCCCGCAACGAGCGCAACCCCUAUUGUUAGUUGCUACGAGAGAGCACUCUAGCGAGACUGCCGUUGACAAAACGGAGGAAGGCGGGGACGACGUCAAAUCAUCAUGCCCCUUAUGUCCUGGGCUACACACGUAAUACAAUGGUGGUAAACAGAGGGAAGCGAAGCCGCGAGGCAGAGCAAAACCCUAAAAGCCAUCUCAGUUCGGAUUGCAGGCUGCAACUCGCCUGCAUGAAGCUGGAAUUGCUAGUAAUCGCGGAUCAGAAUGCCGCGGUGAAUACGUUCCCGGGCCUUGCACUCACCGCCCGUCA